AAUAACAAAUGGAGGCUAAAAAAUACAUCUAUUUAAAGCUCAGGGUUUUAGCUAUGUUUAGAGAUAGAUACUUAGAUACAUGCUUUUCGGUAUUUUUGAGGACGAAUGGAUUCUUUGAAGUGCCUAUUAACGGUGAAAUUGGUACACAUGAAUAAAGCGAAAUACAGAAUCUAUUUAGAAAUUAAAGAAACCAAAAGACUAACAUCGUUGGGCACCCUCUGUCUCUUUGAUAUGUGAUUCCUUCCUAUGGCUGCAGCACAAUUUGUCAUGUUUUAGUUUUAAGUUAUUUUAAUUUUACUCUUGUGGCAUCAUUGCAGAAUUGUUUCAACAAAAUAUUUGUUCAAGGGUGCUAGCAGAAAUGCUCCUUUUAAAUGAGAACAUAUCGGGCAGCACAACAAGACUACAACAAAGCGUCAAACUGGAUUAUUCAGCUAAUGUCAAAGUCAGGAACGAAACAAGAAGGGGGGCUUGCUGAAACUCAAUUUCAUGAGCUCGGAUCAACAAUUCUGGAUUUAAUAACUUCUCAUGUCAUGCCAUGGUUUACUAGUGAGGCUGCUCAAGGAGAUUCAAUGUGAAAAUAUGAAAGAUGUUAUCGAGGAAGAUGAGGAUGAAGAAGAUUGAAAUGACAAGGGUGAAGAGGAGAUGAUGGAAAAGAAUGUGAGAUUUACUUAUCAAAAAAAAAAAUUUACUUAUAAAAAAAAACAUUUACUUAUCCAAAAAAAAAAAAGAAUGUGAGAUUUUUUGCCUGCUUUUACAAAGUGAUUCGACUUUUUCCUGUUAAUCAAUGCCAUGUUAUUCCAA
Molecule: long non-coding RNA, 801 nt
Organism: Nicotiana attenuata
Lineage: Eukaryota; Viridiplantae; Streptophyta; Magnoliopsida; Solanales; Solanaceae
Exons: 3
Source: RefSeq, a predicted model, not a curated record